Molecule: transfer RNA, 74 nt
Filed under: Scopula alba (Italian nereid)
Lineage: Eukaryota; Metazoa; Arthropoda; Insecta; Lepidoptera; Geometridae
Description: transfer RNA-Leu
Source: RNAcentral
ACUAUUUUGACAGAAAUAAUGUGAUGGUUUUAGAAAUCAGAAAUAUAUAAAUGAAUUAAUUAUAUAGAUAGUAA